Molecule: transfer RNA, 63 nt
Filed under: Halocaridina rubra (Hawaiian volcano shrimp)
Lineage: Eukaryota; Metazoa; Arthropoda; Malacostraca; Decapoda; Atyidae
Description: tRNA-Leu
Source: RNAcentral
UCUGGAAUGGCAGAUCAUUGCAUGAGAUUUAAGCUCUCAAUAGGAAGGUGUCUUCUUCCAGAA